AAAAAUUUAGUUAAAAAAAUAACGUUAGUUUGUCAAGCUAAAAUUAUUGGUUCAAUAAUUUUUA
Molecule: transfer RNA, 64 nt
Filed under: Epitrix abeillei
Lineage: Eukaryota; Metazoa; Arthropoda; Insecta; Coleoptera; Chrysomelidae
Description: tRNA-Asp
Rfam family: tRNA
About the family: Transfer RNA (tRNA) molecules are approximately 80 nucleotides in length.
Source: RNAcentral